This 2395-nucleotide long non-coding RNA is filed under the name Sarcophilus harrisii (Tasmanian devil). Its description in RNAcentral is "lncRNA (ENSSHAG00000026230.1)". The record is from RNAcentral. Lineage: Eukaryota; Metazoa; Chordata; Mammalia; Dasyuromorphia; Dasyuridae.
CCUGCCUGUGAUAUGGUUCAGCCAUCUAUCCAUUUGAAUAUUGGAGACAGUCAUCUGAGAUAAUUUACAAAUUUAUGAACUAUGGACAUAUUGUAGUAUUGACUAGAGGAGCCUGAAAUUGAAGGGGGACCCUGAAACUCUCUCUCUAAAACUCCUUCAAGGAAAAAGUCUCCUUGAAUUCUGGCCUCUGUAAAAAACACUCACCUGAGGGAAACAGGAUAAAUAGAUUCAUUCUGUUAUCCUGAGAGAGGGGAACCACUCCAUUCAUAAUACUCACUACUGAUUAAACUCCCUAUUGAGGUGAAGAUUAGCCCAGAGACACUCAUUCAAUUCCAAGAUUCUCUAUUCUGAUUCCAGCUCACACUGUACCCAGCCCCCAUCAAGAGCUGCUAGCCUAGGCUGCUCUUAUAAAAAGAGCCAACUUGGGGCUUGCUUCUUGCAGAGAACCUAACAUGCCAUACCAUACCAUGCUAUGCCAAGGAACCUCUCUCCCUCUUUGGCAUAGCAAUAACCCUAUGCCCAUUGAAAUGAUAUUCUCCUUCAGCAUUACCUCUUCUUUAUCUCUUUCUCACCCAUUUCCCUAACAAGACUUUAUACCUCUGUGUCAGGAUUUCUCUGCUAGAAACUUUACUUCUCUGUCAGGACCUUGCCACCCAGGCAUUCAGGCUUUCUAUUCAUGCAUAGCAAAGGCUGACUUCCCAAUGCCAACACAAUAAACUUCUUUUACCAGUCUGCUUUUCAGGUUUGUAAAACCAAAAGGGGUUCCUGCAACUCCCUGCCCUGCACCAAAUCCUAGGGGAACCUAGAGGGGCCAAACCUCUUCAUUUGGUUCCCUGAACCCUGAACCUGCCACUAACCUUAUCAGUAUCUCUGUUAACACUUAUAAUAAGUGGCUAUAGUAAAUGGAACACAUGAGGUAUUCCUUCAUCUCAUACUAAUCCCGUUAGUUAUGAAAAUAUAUACCAGAUUUAGUUGCUAGAAAUCCGUGUUACUCUUGGAGAUAGCAGAUUCACUUAAGUGGUGCAAACAGAAGCCAGACUGCAUACAAUUGACAACUCAGAGGUGUCAGUAGUUAACAAAGACAGGAUCUAGCUGAAAUUAGUUAACCAACUUGCCAUGGAUAGCAAGCAUAUUUAUAAGGAAGUGCUAUUUGGAAGCACUGGAGUAGAAGUAGAGGUGGAGGAUAGUUAAAAGAUUCAUGGUUGGAGUUUGGGGAGCUGCAAAAAAAUGAUGGAGAAGAAAUUCAGGAGAGAGUUUAAGCUACAGAUAUGAAGGAAGAUGAGGCAAGAAAAGUGAGAUUGAGAAGAGGUAGAGGAAUCACUUGGAGAAAAAAUGAAAGAACAGAUUUCUGAGGUGAAAUGCAAAGAUGGAAGGACAUGAGUUUGUGACCAAUGAACUGGAGGGUUCUUCACUAAUUCAGGUGAUAUGGAAAAUGGCAAGAUUUAAGGUAUUGUGUCACUGUUCCCUUUUAUUGUCCUGCUCAGUUUCCCUAAAUUCUCAAGAUAAGGGGGAGUUUGGACGUACUGAUGAGGUUAGUGGCAGGUUCAGGGUUCAGAAAACCAAAUGAAGAGGUUUGGCCCCUCUAGGUUCCCCUAGGAUUUGGUGCAGGGCAGGGAGUUGCAGGAACCCCUUCUGGUGGCACAGGGGGUUCUUCAUAAAGGAAUUUACAAACCUGAAAAGCAGAUUGGUAAAAGAAGUUUAUUGUUGGCAUUGGGAAGUCAGCCUUUGCUAUGCAUGAAUAGAAAGACUGAAUUCCUUGGUGGCAAGGUCCGACAGAGAAGUAAAGUUUCUAGCAGAGAAAUCCUGACACAGAGGUAUAAAGUCUUGUUAGGGAAAUAGGUGAGAAAGAGAUAAAGAGGGGGUAAUGCUGAGAAUAUCAUUUCAAUGGGCAGAGGGUUGCUGCUAUGCCAAGGGGAGAGAAGUUCCUUGGCAUAGCAUGGCAUGGCAUGUUAGGUCCUCUGCAAGGAGCAAGCCCCAAAUUGGCUCAUUUUAUAAUAGAAGCCUAGGCUGGCAGCUCUUGAUGGGGGCUGGGUACAGUGUGAGCUGGAAUCAGAAUAGAGAAUCUGGCGUAUUCAAUUCCAAAAGUGUUUCUGGACUAAUCUUCACCUCAAUAGGGAGCUUAAUUAGAGUGAGUGUUAUGAAUGGAGAUGAUUCUUUUCUCUCAGGAUAACAGAAUGAAGCUGUUUAUCCUGUUUCCCUCAGGUGAGUGUCUUUUACAGAGGCCAGAAUUCAAGGACACCUUCUCUUUGAAUCAGUUUCAGAGAGUUUUGGGGACCCCCCUUCAGUUUCAGUCUCCCCUCAUCAAUACUGGCUCCCAAGUCCUCCUAAGUUAUUAAGAAUUUAUGGUCCUAUCUGCCAACCUUUCAGAACAGAAUUGAUGGUCCCUUCUCUAAAA